UAUAUAAGCCAUUGCAAUGAGUGCCGUUGAAUUUGGUCAGGAUCGGAAGAUAGCAGCCAUAAGAUGUGUUCCUCAUGUGUAGUGGCACUUUUCGUAAG
This 98-nucleotide signal recognition particle RNA is filed under the name Erysipelotrichaceae bacterium. RNAcentral's name for it is "signal recognition particle sRNA small type". It matches the Rfam family "Bacterial small signal recognition particle RNA". Rfam says of the family: The signal recognition particle (SRP) is a universally conserved ribonucleoprotein involved in the co-translational targeting of proteins to membranes. Archaeal SRP consists of a 7S RNA and homologues of the eukaryotic SRP19 and SRP54 proteins. The record is from RNAcentral. Lineage: Bacteria; Bacillati; Bacillota; Erysipelotrichia; Erysipelotrichales; Erysipelotrichaceae.